UUACUUACCUCCAUGGGGUCUAUGGGUGAUCAAUAAGGCUCAUGGCCUAGAUCAACGUCUCACAUUGCACUUUGUGAGUGCGGUCAUCUACCAUCUUUCCUUGUUGGAAGAGUGAACGCCAUAAUUUGUCAUAAAAAGGAUACGCGUUCACGCGGUCCCAC
Hordeum vulgare subsp. vulgare (domesticated barley) is the source of this 161-nucleotide non-coding RNA. The record is from Rfam. Lineage: Eukaryota; Viridiplantae; Streptophyta; Magnoliopsida; Poales; Poaceae.